GUCUAUGGCCAUGCCACCCUGAACACACCCGAUCUUGUCUGAUCUUGGAAGCUAAGCUGGAUCAGGCCUGGUUAGUACUUGGAUAGGAGAAAUGCAGGGCCUAUGGCCU
This is a ribosomal RNA of Erinaceus europaeus (western European hedgehog), 109 nucleotides long. NCBI's taxonomy places the organism in Eukaryota, Metazoa, Chordata, Mammalia, Eulipotyphla, Erinaceidae. The record is from Ensembl.